RNAcentral lists this transfer RNA (84 nucleotides) under Bacteriophage sp. Its description in RNAcentral is "tRNA-Tyr". It matches the Rfam family "tRNA". Rfam says of the family: Transfer RNA (tRNA) molecules are approximately 80 nucleotides in length. Their secondary structure includes four short double-helical elements and three loops (D, anti-codon, and T loops). The record is from RNAcentral.
GGGAGAGUAAACCGUAACUGGUAGCGGGCAAAACUGUAAAUUUUGUUCCUUCGGGAUCUGGGAGUUCGAGUCUCUCCUCUCCCA